UACGCAGGCGGAAAAUUAAGUCAGUGGUGAAAUCCUGCAGCUUAACUGUAGAACUGUCAUUGAUACUGGUUUUCUUGAAUAUAGUUGAGGUAGGCGGAAUGUGUAAUGUAGCGGUGAAAUGCUUAGAUAUUACACAGAACACCGAUUGCGAAGGCAGCUUACUAAGCUAUGAUUGACGCUGAGGCACGAAAGCGUGGGGAGCGAACAGGAUUAGAUACCCUGGUAGUCC
RNAcentral lists this ribosomal RNA (229 nucleotides) under uncultured bacterium. RNAcentral describes it as "partial 16S ribosomal RNA". It matches the Rfam family "Bacterial small subunit ribosomal RNA", at positions 568 to 796 of the family's 1533-position model. The record is from RNAcentral.